GUACUUGGGCGUCCGCGGUUUUGGAAUUGGCCCUCUGCCUGCUGAGAACAGCCGUUUGCAAGAUGGCUGCUUACAGAGAUUCACCAUCGUGCUUUUUACUUGUGCCAGAGGGGUGACUUACAUCGAUGCCAUGUAAAAGGUAUGAAGUAGGUGACUCCUGGCAAGAAGAGUGAGAUGGAGCUGUCGUUAAGGAAUGGUGCCUGAGGACAAACUUGCGUUUACAAUGCUGCACUUGGAUUUUACCAUCUAAAGCUUUCAUCUGACGCGGCGAUUUCCUGAACAUCAACAUUACAAGAGUUCGCUCUGAGUUAUUUGUAUAGCAGUUCGUAUAAACAUUGUAGCGCAAUGUAUUCUACUGAAUAUCAACAGUAACAGUACACUUGUGUAUGGUUUUAUUAAAUAUUUUCUACAAU
Spea bombifrons (plains spadefoot toad) is the source of this 413-nucleotide long non-coding RNA. RefSeq lists it as uncharacterized. Lineage: Eukaryota; Metazoa; Chordata; Amphibia; Anura; Pelobatidae. The transcript is spliced from 6 exons. The record is from RefSeq and is a predicted model, not a curated record.